UUUGAAAUCUGGCCUUCGGGUCCGACUUGUAAUCUGCAGAUGGGUCUUCCGGCGAGGCGCGCGUCCWAGUGCCCUGGAAUGGGCCGCCGUAGAGGGUGAGAGCCCCGUACUGGCGCGUGCCGAGCCUCCGUGAAACCCAUUCGACGAGUCGAGUAGUUUGGAAAUGCUGCUCUAAUUGUGGGGUAAAUCUCCCAUAAGGCUAAAUAUCGGCCGGAGACCGAUAGCGCACAAGUAGCGUGAGCGAAAGAUGAAAAGAGCCUUGGAUAAGGGCGUCAAACAGUAUGUGAAAUUGUUAUGGGGGAAGCGCUCGUCGCCAGACGUGGCGGCGGCUGGUUACCCGGCGUCCUCGCCGGCGCACUCUGCCCGCCGCCAGGCCAGCACCGGCUCGGGCCGGGGCCCAAUGCGCGCGGGAACGUGGCUCUCUUCGGGGAGUGUUAUAGCCCACGCGCGACGCCCUGGGCCGGGCCGAGGAUCGCGCAUCUGCUCGGAUGCUGGCUUAAUGGCGCCUAKCGACCCGUCUUGAAACACGGACCAAGGAGUUGACCUGGCGCGCGAGUGUUCGGGUGUCAAGCCCCUACGCGUAGUGAAAGCGAACGCAGGUGGGAGCCCUCUGGGCGCACCAUCGACCGAUCCUGAAGCUCKCAGAUGGAUUUGAGUAGGAGCGCGCCGGGUCUGACCCGAAAGAAGGUGAACUAUGCAUGAAUAGGGUGAAGCCAGAGGAAACUCUGGUGGAGGCUCGCAGCGGUUCUGACGUGCAAAUCGAUCGUCAAAUUUGUGCAUGGGGGCGAAAGACCAAUCG
This 799-nucleotide ribosomal RNA is filed under the name Ascotaiwania fusiformis. RNAcentral describes it as "eukaryotic LSU rRNA". It matches the Rfam family "Eukaryotic large subunit ribosomal RNA", at positions 114 to 937 of the family's 3401-position model. The record is from RNAcentral. Lineage: Eukaryota; Fungi; Ascomycota; Sordariomycetes; Savoryellales; Savoryellaceae.